UUUGCAGGCUGAUGGAGUCAGCAAGGAAGAGGUUUAUGAACAGCAGCCACUCUGCAUAGGAUGGCUGCAGGGAAUGUUCUCAUGCUUGCCCAGAGAAGUCUGCCAGGGUCACUGAGAUACCUCUGAGAU
Molecule: long non-coding RNA, 129 nt
Organism: Neotoma lepida (desert woodrat)
Lineage: Eukaryota; Metazoa; Chordata; Mammalia; Rodentia; Cricetidae
Rfam family: Rhabdomyosarcoma 2 associated transcript conserved region 2
Source: Rfam